AAACUUUCAACAAUGGAUCUCUUGGCUCUGGCAUCGAUGAAGAACGCAGCGAAAUGCGAUAAGUAGUGUGAAUUGCAGAAUUCAGUGAAUCAUCGAAUCUUUGAACGCACAUUGCGCCCUUUGGUAUUCCUUUGGGCAUGCCUGUUCGAGCGUCAUU
RNAcentral lists this ribosomal RNA (157 nucleotides) under Phoma sp. A14. RNAcentral describes it as "5.8S ribosomal RNA". It matches the Rfam family "5.8S ribosomal RNA". From Rfam's summary of the family: 5.8S ribosomal RNA (5.8S rRNA) is a component of the large subunit of the eukaryotic ribosome. It is transcribed by RNA polymerase I as part of the 45S precursor that also contains 18S and 28S rRNA. Functionally, it is thought that 5.8S rRNA may be involved in ribosome translocation. The record is from RNAcentral. Lineage: Eukaryota; Fungi; Ascomycota; Dothideomycetes; Pleosporales; Didymellaceae. RNAcentral also lists the same sequence under 1 other name.